This 21-nucleotide microRNA is filed under the name Anolis carolinensis (green anole). RNAcentral describes it as "Aca-Mir-5406_5p (mature (guide))". The record is from RNAcentral. Lineage: Eukaryota; Metazoa; Chordata; Lepidosauria; Squamata; Anolidae.
UUUUAGACUGGCACUCCUAGA